CUUAUACAACUUAUACACCCCUCACCAAACUGAUUGGCCUAAAAUCCCUCAAAUCCUCGACACCCCUUUUCUUAGGAAUUAACACAAAAAAAGUAACAUUUAGACCUUUUUCAAAACUGCCAUACUCAUGGAACUCCCUAAAAAACCCAUCACCUCAUCAUUUACAAAAUUCCAAGAAAACUGCCAAAAACCCAUAGAAAAACUAUCCGGCCUAGGAACUUUGUCCCUACUAAACCUGAAAGAGCACUAAAAACCUCCUCCACAGUAAAGGGCUCCUCCACAGUAAAGGGCUCCUCCAAUAAAGCAGCCUCUUGAGCCUCAAAACCCUCAAACAGCAAGUCAUUUAAACUUGGUCUCCAUUCCCCUAAAUCAGAAAGCAGAUUCUAAAAAGCUUGAGCCAUCCCUCCCUUAAUAUCCUUUUCCUUGGACAACCACACUCCGUUAAUCUUAAUUUUGGCCAAUAAAUUCUUUUUACAGUGGCAUUAGCCAUCUUAUGGAAGAAAAAAAAAAAAAGUAUUUCUAUCCCCCUCCUUUAACCAAACCUCCCGAGAUUUUUGUCUCCAAGAAAUUUCUUCCAACAAAACCCACUCCUUAUACUCCUCCCUUGCUCCCUCUUGUGCUUCAACCUCCUCCAUAGACAAAAUACAGGACCUCUCCUUUGCAUCCCAAAACGCCACUUGCUCCAAUGCCCUAGCCUUCCUCACUUCAAGCUGGCCAAAAACUUCUCUAUUCCAAGUCAUUAGAUGAAACUUCAACGUUUUCAACUUUGCAGCCAAAAUAAAACUGAAGGAACCACGAAAGUUGAACCCCUCUCACCAAGAUUUGAGCAAAUCCUUAAACCCCUCCACUUUUAACCACAUAUUUUCAAAACAAAAAGGCAUAGGACCUCUCCUCAACCCUCCCCCAUCCAACAAAAUAGGGAAAUGAUUGGAUACUGGUCUAGGGAGCACACACUGCAUUGCUCCACUGAAAUGAGUUUCCUACACCUCAGAAACAAUAAACUGAUCUAGUUUGGACUGGAUUUGAUUGUUCAAACCACCACUCCAAGUAAAAGGGCCACCCAACAAAGGAAGAUCUCUAACUAUAAAUCCUCAAUUACAUCAGAAAACCUCCGCAUCACUCAAGUUAAUCUACCUCCACUACAGCGUUCACAUGGAAACCUGAUCAGAUUAAAAUCAUCUGCAACACACCAAGGUUCACCUUAAAGACCUUUGAUCACCCCUAAUUCAUCCCACAACAAUUCUCUCUCUUUGCAGCAUUGGCCCAUAAACCCCUGAAAAGCUCCUACUAAAAUUGUUUUGACAAUUUUGAAACCGACACGAAACCGAAAACUACCCCACUUCCAACUCAACCAAUUGCAAUACCCUUUUAUCCCAUAACAUUAAAAUACCUCCAGCUGCACCUUUCAAAUUCACCCCAGCCCAAUCUAAAAAAUGCCCCACACCAAGACUACACAUCGACCCCAUAGACAAUUCUUGAAGCUUUGUUUCCUAUAAACAGAUCAAGUCCGCUCUCUGAGACUUAAUCAAAGCCUUACUAACCUUCCUUUUAUCUCUUAUCAGUAGCCGCUCUUACAUUCCAAGAUAAGAUUCUGAUCCUCAUCUAACACUGGAAACACUGCCCCUACUAUCCACCCUUGAACCAGAAUAGUUUAUGGACCACUCCAUUUUUUUCAACUCCCUUUUAAACAGUGAAGACUCCAAGGUUUUCCUCCUCCCUCCAUUCCCAAGCCUCUGCCAAUCUCAUCUCUCUUUCAUCUUCUUGAGCAAUUGCAAAAUCUCCAUGUCAAACCCCUCAAUCGGCAUCCCCAAACAACUGAACCUUGUCAAACAGCUGUAAGACCAGCAAUCUGGCAGCCAAUCAUAAAAAAAAACCCUCCCCCAUCUCCUGAGUCCCAGACACAGCGUCACCCAACCCAAACUCCACCACAGCUGAACGAGGUGCAUCCACCUCCUCUCCAUCAGCCAACACUACCCGGAAUGGGGCUAUAGACUCCCCUUCCAAAGCUCCUGCUCCCACACCAACAAAAGAGUCCUCAACAGUGGCCACCACUGCCCUUUCCAACCCAGAAUAAGAAGAAACUCAUCCCCCAAAGAAAAGGAAGAAUUUGUAGCCAGAAAGGAAUACCUACAAACCUCCUCCAAAAGUGCUUCAUCGGUGAUGCAAACAUGACAAAACUCUGGCGGCCCUGUUCCACGCAAGUGGCAGCACCACCAGCCACCUCCUCAAGCAACCUCCCACCCACUCCAGCUCUCCACCCCAACACAGAAUGCUCCUGCUGCCCAACGCCCAAAGCCUUAGAAACAAUGGGGGUCCUUAUCUAACCCUCAAGGAGGCUCCCACCUGAACCCCAGACCCACUUACCUCACCUACUUACCAUCAACUGGGCUGAGUCACUUAACUGAACUUUGGGUCAAAAAGACGGAAGCCCACCUGACCCCAAACAACUACCCUCCCCCAAAGUCAAAUCCUCAGCAGAGCAGCCCACCUCCUUAGGCCCAAAUGCAACCCCACUUACAACCUCUCCUCCACCUACCACUUGGCCACCUCCAAACACAGUAACCACACCUGCACUGGUACUAAACUCAUCAGCAACAGCCACCUCUCUACCCUGGAAUUCAGCACCAGAACACGACAAAGCUGCCUUCACCAACUGCAAAUCCAGCGAAGACAAGUUCACCCUACGUCCAGCGCAUAAUCCUUCACUGCUGCCACUCCUAACCUCCACAGUCUCUCCACCACUGCUUCUGGAAGACGGAACAACCACCGACACCCAUGGUGGAACCUCCCACCACAACUGGAUUGCAAAACAAAGAGACCCAACAACCAACCGCAAAGAACCAGACAAACCCUUACCUUCUGAUUUCACCAAAACCCAUGCCCAUUGCUACUGUACAAAACCAGCGGUAUCCUCAUCCACAGCGACGAAACCACCACAGCAAUCCCCAAUUUUCCAAAACAUGUUGCGACUCCAAAAAUUAAGGGGAUGACCCACCACCCUCACCCACACCUCCUUAGCAAGCCCUCCAGUCCAACAACCAUCCACUUCUGGUCCCCACUUCUGCAAAACUAAAAGCUUCUCUCUAAACCAAUGGGAGCCUCUCUGCAACACCCUUUCAGCUUCAAAACUAUCCUCAAACUCAAACAGAAGAAGUGCCCCAUGCAACUUGGAAAUCUUGAGCGCUUCAGAUGCCAAGAAUUAAUACCCCAAUUCCGCAACGCAAACAAAUCUGGAAUGAAAGCAGCAUCCUCUCCCCAACGACCAACCAAGCACCACCCCAACUGCUCCUCUCUAUGCCUCAGUUCUGGACCCCCAAAAUGGUCCCAAAUCGCAUCCCCUAACCUGUCACCCUUUUGCUUUGACAACAUCAGCAAAAGACCUUGAAUCCUUUCGCACAGGCACAGCAGGCCCAGAAGAACGCAAAGAGAACGCAGCUUCUCAGCCAAAGUGGCCGACCCCCCUGCAAACCCUUUACCCUCAGGAAAGACCUGACAAAACCUCUUCGCUGCAUGAUCCAAAACAGAACGAAAAGGGAACUGACCUGCCUGAUUAGAUUGCUGUUCCAGCCUAAAUUUCCUGCCCCCAUCCUCCCAACAUUUAUCAAACUUCCACAGACAAUCCUCCUACAACAAGCCUCCACUCCUUCCAAAAGGCAAUGAAGGCUUAAAUUCCCAAACUGAAUCCAAGAAGAAAACCCUCAAACUUCUCUCGACAAUGACCCCAUGAAGUUUCUCACCAACUACCUCCACUGAAAGUUCAAAUGAUUUCGACUCCACAUCAAAACAACACUUACCUCCUCUCAUGCCUACUCCCCUUUUUCUACAUUGAGCAUAUCAGAAACUAUUCAAAAGCUGUCAUGUUGUGUCAACAUGGAUCUCAACAUGCUUCCCUUUUUUAAUCCCUCUAUUUAUGCCUGCGUUGAAUUUGGCUUCCUAAUUGUGAUCAAUGUAAUUUCCAAUGGUUUAUGCAACUUGACCAAAAAAAAAACGAACUUUAAUAAUGAAAGGCAAACAUUAAUACUUGAGCUAAUUUAUAUGAUUGCCUAUUUUGACUUAUCAGUAUGAACUCGGUGGGAUUUGCUUCUAGUUCAAAAACUGAACAUGCUUUAAUAUCAAAGCAUUGAGGUCAACUAAAAAUUCUAUGGAACAGCUGCAAAAAUGAUAAAUUUGAAAUUCAUCUGAAUGCCUUAAUGGCAUUACCUUUCACUGCUUUGUGAAUCAUAUGACAGUUGUAUUUCAUAUUUUUUCUCUCCAUGUCACAGAUAGUGGAGGUACGGGACUUUGCGGGUGAAGAGAUAGAAGUAAAGAAGCUUGUUGAUGCUGCUUCAAAGGAGGCAUCUGAAAAGGCCAAAGGUCCAGCUGGUACCACAUCUGCAGUUGAUGCUGUUCUAGAACAAAUCAAGAAGAAACCAAAACUGAGUGUGCUUGACAAGACAAAAAUGGACUGGGGUGGGUUCAAGGAAGACAACAAAGGUCUAGAAGAGGAGUUGGAUGCAUAUAAGAAGAGCUCAAACCAGUAUCUGGACAAGGUUUCUUUCUUACAGCGAGCAGAUUACAGGGAAUUUGAGAGGGAGAGGGAUGCUCGGCUGGCUUUGCACGCCAGAAGAAGGCCAGAUAUGAGUGAGGAUCCAUGAAAGUACCAUACCUUGCUUUCUAAUUAAUUUUUUUUUUUAUAAUUAUUGUUAUUUGGAAAUUGAAGGGGAGAAGAUAUGGAAGAGUUGCAAAUUGAACGAGGCUAAUUGUUUUUGUAUAGUGUGUAGGAUGGGAUAUUCGCCUUCACAGCAAUGGGGUUUCCUACUACUUGUAUACAAGAAAAUCUGUGCCCUCUUUUCUUAGUCAGGGGUCAUAGGUCCGUUUGAUUCUCCUAAUGGGGAAACCGAGGGAUGAAAUCUUGUGCAAAUGUUCUUGUAUCUUUUCCUCUUUUAUUUAAUGAUGACCGAUGUUUAAUUUUAUCAUCUAUAUGUUACCAUUUAUAUAUUUUCCUUUGCUAUUGCCAUUUUCAUCUCAUGACUCCAAGUUGAUCAUGGAAUCAAUAAUUUUUAAUCCCAGUAUUAUACAAGCCUUUUCGCACAAGGAAAACAAAACUUUACUCAAAACGCCUGAUCUAUACCCUCUAUGAUGACUGAUAACAAAUAGUAAAGGCUUUUGUUGCUUAAUGAUUCAUAACAAGUAAUGUGAAUGACAUUGUCAAACAAUCCCAUAUCUUCGUCUGCUGCCUUGUGACUAAGCCAUGGUGCGAAUGUUUCCUUAACUACUACUCCGGGUGGCGAUUGGAAGGCUUGAUUUCACGUCAAUCGUCCAUGCUUGGGAUGAUGACCCCUGAUCAGUCCUUCCCCACGCUCUGCCCUUCUCCAUCCCUACGCCGCGUUCCUAGUUGAUGGUAGUGGCAUCUUCUCAUCAAAAGCAAAUUUCUUAGUUGCUGGUAGGGUUAUCUCCUCAUCAAAAGUGAUCCCAAUUAGAGGCUCACAUUCUUUAUACCACCACCACACCUGAAACGUUUCAUGCCUCCGUUUGAUUGCUGAGAAAAGAUAUGAUAAAGCACAGAGAAAGGAAAAACAGAAACCAAUACCUUCGAAGUAACAGAAGCAACAUUGAAGCACGUCCCACUGAGAUUACCAGCCACAUCAUUCUUCUCCAAUCCGGAGGUGAUCAACCUGUACAGAGAGUAGUAUCUUCUGGGAAACAAUAGAUGCAUCUCCAUUACAACUAAAUUAUCUAAUGCAAUCCUCUUACAAAAUAAUAAUCCAACUUCUAGUCAUAUUUGUGUCAAAGAAAUUUGAUGCAAUUAUCAUAUAAUUAUAAACAAUCAAAUUCAAAUUUAAGCAAAUUCUAUCAUUUUUUUCCAGUCUACAUAAGAUUCAACUACCACCCAUAUUAUAGCUUACACGGCCAAACAACCUCAAUACAAUAACAAACAAAUCCCAGAAAAUUUGAGAG
Molecule: long non-coding RNA, 5937 nt
Filed under: Vitis vinifera (wine grape)
Lineage: Eukaryota; Viridiplantae; Streptophyta; Magnoliopsida; Vitales; Vitaceae
Description: long non-coding RNA (VVIN_LNC001281)
Source: RNAcentral